Molecule: ribosomal RNA, 800 nt
Filed under: uncultured bacterium
Lineage: Bacteria
Description: bacterial SSU rRNA
Rfam family: Bacterial small subunit ribosomal RNA
Source: RNAcentral
AAUUAUUGGGCGUAAAGAGCUCGUAGGCGGUUUGUCGCGUCUGCUGUGAAAGCCCGGGGCUCAACCCCGGGUCUGCAGUGGGUACGGGCAGACUAGAGUGCAGUAGGGGAGACUGGAAUUCCUGGUGUAGCGGUGAAAUGCGCAGAUAUCAGGAGGAACACCGAUGGCGAAGGCAGGUCUCUGGGCUGUUACUGACGCUGAGGAGCGAAAGCAUGGGGAGCGAACAGGAUUAGAUACCCUGGUAGUCCAUGCCGUAAACGUUGGGCACUAGGUGUGGGGGACAUUCCACGUUUUCCGCGCCGUAGCUAACGCAUUAAGUGCCCCGCCUGGGGAGUACGGCCGCAAGGCUAAAACUCAAAGGAAUUGACGGGGGCCCGCACAAGCGGCGGAGCAUGCGGAUUAAUUCGAUGCAACGCGAAGAACCUUACCAAGGCUUGACAUUCACCGGACCGCCCCAGAGAUGGGGUUUCCCUUCGGGGCUGGUGGACAGGUGGUGCAUGGUUGUCGUCAGCUCGUGUCGUGAGAUGUUGGGUUAAGUCCCGCAACGAGCGCAACCCUCGUUCUAUGUUGCCAGCACGUGAUGGUGGGGACUCAUAGGAGACUGCCGGGGUCAACUCGGAGGAAGGUGGGGAUGACGUCAAAUCAUCAUGCCCCUUAUGUCUUGGGCUUCACGCAUGCUACAAUGGCCGGUACAAAGGGUUGCGAUACUGUGAGGUGGAGCUAAUCCCAAAAAGCCGGUCUCAGUUCGGAUUGAGGUCUGCAACUCGACCUCAUGAAGUCGGAGUCGCUAGUAAUCGCAG